This 497-nucleotide ribosomal RNA is filed under the name uncultured bacterium. Its description in RNAcentral is "partial 16S ribosomal RNA". It matches the Rfam family "Bacterial small subunit ribosomal RNA", at positions 28 to 507 of the family's 1533-position model. The record is from RNAcentral.
GACGAACGCUGGCGGCGUGCCUAAUACAUGCAAGUAGAACGCUGAAGAGAGGAGCUUGCUCUUCUUGGAUGAGUUGCGAACGGGUGAGUAACGCGUAGGUAACCUGCCUUGUAGCGGGGGAUAACUAUUGGAAACGAUAGCUAAUACCGCAUAACAAUGGAUGACACAUGUCAUUUAUUUGAAAGGGGCAAUUGCUCCACUACAAGAUGGACCUGCGUUGUAUUAGCUAGUAGGUGAGGUAACGGCUUACCUAGGCGACGAUACAUAGCCGACCUGAGAGGGUGAUCGGCCACACUGGGACUGAGACACGGCCCAGACUCCUACGGGAGGCAGCAGUAGGGAAUCUUCGGCAAUGGGGGCAACCCUGACCGAGCAACGCCGCGUGAGUGAAGAAGGUUUUCGGAUCGUAAAGCUCUGUUGUAAGUCAAGAACGAGUGUGAGAGUGGAAAGUUCACACUGUGACGGUAGCUUACCAGAAAGGGACGGCUAACUACGUG